CUCCUACGGAGGCAGCAGUAGGGAAUAUUGCACAAUGGAGGAAACUCUGAUGCAGCGACGCCGCGUGAGUGACGAAGGCCUUCGGGUUGUUAAAGGCUACUGUUCUCAGGGAAAAAGAAAGUGAUUGUACCUGACGAAGAAAGGACCGGCUAACUUCGUGCCAGCAGCCGCGGUAAUUC
RNAcentral lists this ribosomal RNA (179 nucleotides) under uncultured bacterium. Its description in RNAcentral is "partial 16S ribosomal RNA". It matches the Rfam family "Bacterial small subunit ribosomal RNA", at positions 336 to 526 of the family's 1533-position model. The record is from RNAcentral.